RNAcentral lists this ribosomal RNA (99 nucleotides) under Staphylococcus aureus. RNAcentral describes it as "partial 16S ribosomal RNA". It matches the Rfam family "Bacterial small subunit ribosomal RNA", at positions 1 to 93 of the family's 1533-position model. Lineage: Bacteria; Bacillati; Bacillota; Bacilli; Caryophanales; Staphylococcaceae. The record is from RNAcentral.
UUUAUGGAGAGUUUGAUCCUGGCUCAGGAUGAACGCUGGCGGCGUGCCUAAUACAUGCAAGUCGAGCGAACGGACGAGAAGCUUGCUUCUCUGAUGUUA